GUCAUUAGUUGCUACAUUCAGUUGGGCACUCUAAUGAGACUGCCGGUGACAAACCGGAGGAAGUGGGGAUGACGUCAAGUCCUCAUGGCCCUUAUAGGUGGGGCUACACACGUCAUACAAUGGAUGGUACAAAGGGUCGCCAACCCGCGAGGGGAGCCAAUCCCAUAAAGCCAUUCGUAGUCCGGAUCGCAGUCUGCAACUCGACUGCGUGAAGUCGGAAUCGCUAGUAAUCGUGGAUCAGAAUGUCACGGUGAAUACGUUCCCGGGUCCUU
This 272-nucleotide ribosomal RNA is filed under the name uncultured Acidovorax sp. RNAcentral's name for it is "partial 16S ribosomal RNA". It matches the Rfam family "Bacterial small subunit ribosomal RNA", at positions 1107 to 1382 of the family's 1533-position model. The record is from RNAcentral. Lineage: Bacteria; Pseudomonadati; Pseudomonadota; Betaproteobacteria; Burkholderiales; Comamonadaceae.